This 758-nucleotide long non-coding RNA is filed under the name Homo sapiens (human). Its description in RNAcentral is "HSALNT0346836". The record is from RNAcentral. Lineage: Eukaryota; Metazoa; Chordata; Mammalia; Primates; Hominidae.
UCAGGUGAUCCACUCGCUUCAGCCUCCCAAAGUGCUGGGAUUAUAGGCGUGAGCCACUGUGCCCGGUCUUUUUCUUUAAUGUAGUAUUCACUGGGUUUUUUAAAUUAGUGUCAUAAGUCAGUUAUCCAAGUAGUUUUUCUCCUUUAUUUCAACAUUGACUUCUGACUUUUCCGAAUAUAGGAAUUCCUUCUGUCCUGUUAAGCAGUCCUUCGCUUUCUGCUUUUGGAUACUUAAGUGACCACCUCACUUUUUUGUGAUGCAGCUUGUUCAAUUUUUGGAUAGUUCUCGUGGACACAUGGAAAUGCUGAGUAGAACUAUGAUACAAAUCAGCUCACCAUAAAGUACAAUCUCCAGUGGCCAGAGAGAACUAAAAGGAAACUAAAAACCCGCAUGACACAGUUAACUUUGGGGCUUAAGAUGAGAUAAGGUAUAUACCAUUUAUGUGGUCUGUCAACACACGAAGUUAAAUAUUAACGUCAAGAAUCUCCCUGGACUGGCUUUACUCUCAGGCACCUGGAAGAAGCAAACAAAUACUUUAUGAAGACUGACAGCCUCAGAAUUUAAAUUCUGAGGUUGCAUAAAUUUAACCUUGUCAAAAAUGAGCUCAGAGCCCCCACAUUUCAAAUCAUAAGAGGGAAUGAUUUACCUACAGCUGAAUACCAGGUGACCCGAAAGAUAAAAGGAAGGCUGGGCACGGUGGCUCCCUCACACCUGUAAUACCGGCACUUUGGGAGGCUGAGGCGAGUGGAUCAGUUGAA